RNAcentral lists this ribosomal RNA (838 nucleotides) under uncultured bacterium. RNAcentral's name for it is "bacterial SSU rRNA". It matches the Rfam family "Bacterial small subunit ribosomal RNA", at positions 8 to 896 of the family's 1533-position model. The record is from RNAcentral.
AGAGUUUGAUCCUGGCUCAGAACGAACGCUGGCGGCAGGCUUAACACAUGCAAGUCGAACGCCCCGCAGGGGGAGUGGCAGACGGGUGAGUAACGCGUGGGAAUCUACCCAUCUCUACGGGAUAGCUCCGGGAAACUGGAAUUAAUACCGUAUACGUCCUGAGGGAGAAAGAUUUAUCGGGGAUGGAUGAGCCCGCGUUGGAUUAGCUAGUUGGUGGGGUAAAGGCCUACCAAGGCGACGGUCCAUAGCUGGUCUGAGAGGAUGACCAGCCACAUUGGGACUGAGACACGGCCCAAACUCCUACGGGAGGCAGCAGUGGGGAAUAUUGGACAAUGGGCGCAAGCCUGAUCCAGCCAUGCCGCGUGAGUGAUGAAGGUCUUAGGAUUGUAAAGCUCUUUCAGUGGGGACGAUAAUGACGGUACCCACAGAAGAAGCCCCGGCUAACUUUGUGCCAGCAGCCGCGGUAAUACGAAGGGGGCUAGCGUUGUUCGGAUUUACUGGGCGUAAAGCGCACGUAGGCGGAUAUUUAAGUCGGGGGUGAAAUCCCGGGGCUCAACCCCGGAACUGCCUUCGAUACUGGGUAUCUUGAGUUCGGAAGAGGUGAGUGGAAUUGCGAGUGUAGAGGUGAAAUUCGUAGAUAUUCGCAGGAACACCAGUGGCGAAAGCGGCUCACUGGUCCGAUACUGACGCUGAGGUGCGAAAGCGUGGGGAGCAAACAGGACUAGAUACCCUGGUAGUCCACGCCGUAAACUAUGGAAGCUAGCCGUCGGGUGAUUUAUCACUGGUGGCGCAGCUAACGCAUUAAGCUUCCCGCCUGGGGAGUACGGUCGCAAGAUUA